This 361-nucleotide RNase P RNA is filed under the name Betaproteobacteria bacterium. RNAcentral's name for it is "RNase P RNA component class A". It matches the Rfam family "Bacterial RNase P class A". Rfam says of the family: Ribonuclease P (RNase P) is a ubiquitous endoribonuclease, found in archaea, bacteria and eukarya as well as chloroplasts and mitochondria. Its best characterised activity is the generation of mature 5'-ends of tRNAs by cleaving the 5'-leader elements of precursor-tRNAs. Cellular RNase Ps are ribonucleoproteins. The record is from RNAcentral. Lineage: Bacteria; Pseudomonadati; Pseudomonadota; Betaproteobacteria.
GAAGCCUGCCAGACCGUCGCUGGUGCAAGCUGCAAAGCCAUGGCGAAAGCCAUGGGCCGAAAGGCCGCACUGGAGGAACGUCCGGACUGCACAGGACAGCGUAGGAGGUAACACCUCUCCACCGAAAGGCCGCAAGGCACCAAGGUGAGGAUUAGAGCAACAGAGACGAGCCGAUUCAGUUCGGGUGAAACGGGCAAUCUCUACGCGCAGCAAUACCAAAUAGGCACACGUUGAUCUGGUUCCGGAGAGUGUGCGGGUAGGUAGCACCGAGCCGAGUGGGCAACCCUUGGCCCAGAGUAAUGGCGGUCACAUUGAGGGCAACUUCAAUGCACAGAAUCCGGCUUAUCGGCAGGCUUCACAC